Molecule: ribosomal RNA, 861 nt
Filed under: Triticum aestivum (bread wheat)
Lineage: Eukaryota; Viridiplantae; Streptophyta; Magnoliopsida; Poales; Poaceae
Description: partial small subunit ribosomal RNA
Source: RNAcentral
AUGUCAUGUGCAAAGUGCCACAAAUCUGCCCAGCCAUAUAGUACUGUCUACAAGUGUGCUGGUGUAGAUUGUUCCUGCACCGAUGCAGUACCGAGGUAUCGGAUAUGUUUCGUAGGUGCUGACGACACAGGGGAAGCUGAGUUCGUCCUGUUUGAAAGGGCGGGAAAAGAUCUUGUUGGCAAAUCUUUGAUUACUCUGAUCCGUGAAGGAAAAUCCAACCGUGUUCCACUUGAUGAGAUAGUUCGGAUGGCACGUGGGGAUGACACUGUGCCCCGAGAAAUUACUGCACUCAUUGGACAAAGAUGUGCAUUUGUGGUGUCUAUCUCCUCAAAGAGCUUCUUACCUAACACUGAAGUGACCUCAUUCCAAGUCAAUAGGCUAGAUGUGCCCAAUGAAACAUCCGUGAGAAAUGCGGUUGUGUAUCAUAAGGCAAAUUCACCCAGGCAAUCUGAGAGUGAUACUGGUUCUCUCACUGGUGCUGGGUUAUCAACUGGUGCGCCGCUCACUGGGUCCAUUCCACCAUUAUCACUCACAGAUAGCGGGAAUGCUGACGAGAUUGUUCAUGAGGGAUCAUACUCAAAGGAGCUUGCCACUCCUGAAGCCAAUAAGAAUCGUUCUUCACCAGCUUCUGUCAACAAAAGUGCCACUACACAUAUGGUGGCAGCAAGUGGUGUGCCUAAGUCUGGGCUGCGUAAACCUCUGUUUUCCGAUGGUCGUGCUCAGGUACAUCCUUUCAUUUGCUUGGCGGAACUUCAUUUAGAUCUCUCUACGUACUUGCUUGGUAGUCGGUUGACACGAUGUAUCUGUUUAUGCCUUCUAGGGGCCUGCAAAGAUGGUUGGCGGCUCCGCUGUUCUCGGUGA